AACGAACGCUGGCGGCAUGCCUAACACAUGCAAGUCGAACGAGACCUUCGGGUCUAGUGGCGCACGGGUGCGUAACGCGUGGGAACCUGCCCUUAGGUUCGGAAUAACUCCCCGAAAGGGGUGCUAAUACCGGAUAAUGUCUUCGGACCAAAGAUUUAUCGCCUUUGGAUGGGCCCGCGUUGGAUUAGCUAGUUGGUAGGGUAAAAGCCUACCAAGGCGACGAUCCAUAGCUGGUCUGAGAGGAUGAUCAGCCACACUGGGACUGAGACACGGCCCAGACGCGUGCGGGAAGCAGCAGUGGGGGAUAGGUGAGAAUGGGUGUAAGGCUGAUACACUUUUUCCCAGUGGAUGAUGAAGACCUUAGGGUGGUAAAGCUCUGCUACCCGGGCUGAGCAAGACGGUGCGGGAAGAAUCGGAUAAGCAAAAUCUAGUC
RNAcentral lists this ribosomal RNA (433 nucleotides) under uncultured bacterium. RNAcentral's name for it is "partial 16S ribosomal RNA". It matches the Rfam family "Bacterial small subunit ribosomal RNA", at positions 29 to 508 of the family's 1533-position model. The record is from RNAcentral.